Molecule: RNA transcript, 674 nt
Organism: Pseudomyrmex gracilis
Lineage: Eukaryota; Metazoa; Arthropoda; Insecta; Hymenoptera; Formicidae
Gene: RpS24
Gene name: 40S ribosomal protein S24
Exons: 5
Source: RefSeq, a predicted model, not a curated record
UUGAUCUUAGUGCGCAUGACCAAGAGAACAUGGUGCUCACUUGACAAGGCUGAUUUCCGCACGUGUCUUUUUCACCGUAUGUACGCCUAGAAAGACGAGAUGGCUGAAGGUACAGCAACUAUCCGAACACGGAAGUUCAUGACCAAUCGGCUUCUAUGCCGAAAACAAAUGGUCGUAGAUGUAAUCCAUCCUGGACAACCGUCAGUUCGGAAAACUGAAAUACGAGAAAAGUUAGCCAAAAUGUAUAAAGUAACUCCAGAUGUUGUCUUUGUGUUUGGCUUUCGAACCAACUUUGGUGGCGGCAAAUCAUCUGGAUUUUGUCUUAUUUACGACACUUUGGAUUUUGCCAAAAAAUUCGAACCCAAAUACAGGUUAGCAAGGCAUGGUCUCUUUGAGAAACAAAAACAGACUAGAAAACAGCGUAAAGAACGUAAGAAUAGGAUGAAGAAAGUUAGAGGCACUAAGAAGAGUAAAGUAGGAGCAGCAUCUAAAAAGGGAAGGAAGUAAACAAAUAAUCAUCAUCAUUUAUUGUACUUCUGGAGGAGCAAUAUCUUGUUGCUUAAUCAGGUAAACCUACAAGUCAUCAGGAAUACCAACUUGGACGUAAAAGUUAUUAUAUUUUACUGGGGUGUAGAGAGCUGUAUAAUUAUAAUAAAUUUUACGAAAUAAACGUG